CAGAGGGUUUUGAUUCUGGCUCAGAUUGAACGCUGGCAGGAUGCUUACACAUACGGUCAGACGGCAGCGGUUCGGUCUGGUGGCGAGUGGCGAACAGGUGAGUAAUGUAUCGGAACGUGCCUAGUAGCGGGGGAUAACUGCGCGGCGUAGCUAAUACCGCAUACCCUUCGGGGGAAAGCCGGGGGACCUUCGGGCCUCGCACUAUUAGAGCGGCCGAUAUCGGAUUAGCUAGUUGGUGGGGUAACGGCUCACCAAGGCGACGAUCCGUAGCUGGUUUGAAGGACGACCAGCCACACUGGGACUGAGACACGGCCCAGACUCCUACAGGAGGCAACGGUGGGGGAAUUUUGGACAAUGGGGGAAAGCCCUGAUCCAGCCAUCCCGCGUGUGCGAUGAAGGCCUUCGGGUUGUAAAGCACUUUUGGCAGGAAAGAAACGGCACGGGAUAAUACCCCGUGCAACUGACAGUACCUGCAGAAUAAGCACCGGCUAACUACGUGCCAGCAGCCGCGGUAAUACGUAGGGUGCAAGCGUUAAUCGGAAUUACUGGGCGUAAAGCGUGCGCAGGCGGUUCGGAAGAAAGAUGUGAAAUCCCAGAGCUUAACUUUGGAACUGCAUUUUUAACUACCGAGCUAGAGUGUGUCAGAGGGAGGUGGAAUUCCCGCGAUGUAAGCAGUGAAAUGCGUAGAUAUGCCGGAGGAACACCGAUGGCGAAGGCAGCCUCCUGGGAUAACACUGACGCUCAUGCACGAAAGCGUGGGGAGCAAACAGGAUUAGAUACCCUGGUAGUCCACGCCCUAAACGAUGUCAACUAGCUGUUGGGGCCUUCGGGCCUUGGUAGCGCAGCUAACGCGUGAGACCGCCUGGGGAGUACGGUCGCAAGAUUAAAACUCAAAGGAAUUGACGGGGACCGCACAAGCGGUGGAUGAUGUGGAUUAAUUCGAUGCAACGCGAAAAACCUUACCUACCCUUGACAUGUCUGGAAUCCCGAAGAAUUUGGGAGUGCUCGCAAGAGAACCGGAACACAGGUGCUGCAUGGCUGUCGUCAGCUCGUGUCGUGAGAUGUUGGGUUAAGUCCCGCAACGAGCGCAACCCUUGUCAUUAGUUGCUACGAAAGGGCACUCUAAUGAGACUGCCGGUGACAAACCGGAGGAAGGUGGGGAUGACGUCAGAGUCUCAUGGCCCUUAUGGUGGGGCUUCACACGUCAUGCAAUGGUCGGGACAGAGGGUCGCCAACCCGCGAGGGGAAUAAUCCCAGAGAAGCCGAUCGUAGUCCGGAUCGCAGUCUGCAACUCGACUGCGUGAAGUCGGAAUCGCUAGUAAUCGCGGAUCAGCAUGUCGCGGUGAAUACGUUCGGAGUCUUGUACACACCGCCCGUCACACCAUGGGAGUGGGUUUUACCAGAAGUAGUUAGCCUAACCGUAAGGAGGGCGAUUACCACAUUAGGAUUCAUGACUGGGGUGAAGUCGUAACAAGGUAA
RNAcentral lists this ribosomal RNA (1479 nucleotides) under uncultured Bordetella sp. RNAcentral describes it as "partial 16S-23S ribosomal RNA intergenic spacer". It matches the Rfam family "Bacterial small subunit ribosomal RNA". The record is from RNAcentral. Lineage: Bacteria; Pseudomonadati; Pseudomonadota; Betaproteobacteria; Burkholderiales; Alcaligenaceae.